GACGAACGCUGGCGGCGUGCUUAACACAUGCAAGUCGAACGAAGUGGCGAACGGGUGAGUAAUACGUGGGUAACCUGCCCUCCUUUUUGGUAUACGCCUUGGAAACGCGGUCUAAUACCGACUACAGGGGGCUGUGCUCGCGGCCUAUCAGCUUGUUGGUGGGGGGGUGGCCUACAACGGCGGUGACGGGUAGCCGGCCUGAGAGGGUGUCAGGACACAUUGGGAAUGAGAUCCGGCGAAGACUACUACGGGAGGCAGCAGUGGGGGAUAUUGCACAAUGGGCGAAAGCCUGAUGCAGCGACGCCGAGGGGGGGAGGAAGUCUUUCGGGUUGUAAACCUCUUGCGCUAGCGAACGGGUAGGUGGAGAAGAAGAGCAGGCUAAAUACGUGCCAGCAGCCGCGGUAAUAC
This 408-nucleotide ribosomal RNA is filed under the name uncultured bacterium. RNAcentral describes it as "partial 16S ribosomal RNA". It matches the Rfam family "Bacterial small subunit ribosomal RNA", at positions 28 to 526 of the family's 1533-position model. The record is from RNAcentral.